Molecule: long non-coding RNA, 1066 nt
Organism: Panicum virgatum (switchgrass)
Lineage: Eukaryota; Viridiplantae; Streptophyta; Magnoliopsida; Poales; Poaceae
Exons: 2
Source: RefSeq, a predicted model, not a curated record
UUCAAAAUGGAAGUUUGUCUGUUUAAGUGACAUUUUGAAUUAGAAUUUCCUGUCGAAAAAUAGAUUUUAGGAUACAAAAUGGAUGUUGGACCUAACAAAUAGAUUCCCAGGCCGCCUGUUCGGAACACGAAACGCCUGUUCGCUAGUCACUGCGAGCGGAAGCAGAAGACGGAAGCAGAAGCUCGGCAGCGGACGGCGCGCGUUGCCAGCAGUCACUGCGAGCGGAAGCGCGGCGGCGGACGGCGCGCGUUGACUCCGGCCAUCUCGUCUGCAGUCCAGGCGACAAGCUCCCAGAGAUGACAUCUGUUUCGGGCAAUAACUUCUUAGACACGCCAACUUCUACUUGUGUAAAAGACAUCAAUUAUGAACACUGCAAAUGAUGAGGACAUGACACCCUCGGAUACGAAUAUUGAUGGUGAGUUCGUUCUUACAUUUGUAUAAUGAUUUCUUAUACAAUUCACUUAGUUCCACAUGUACAUGUCAUUAUUUGCUGCUAGGUACAAAUGUGUCAUUACAAUGUCGUCGCGGGCUUGUUAUCCACACAUGGGACCCAGGCCCAAGUUGGAGGAUGCCCCAAACAUGUGGAGAAGACUUCAAAGAUGGCAAAGAAUGUCCUUCCCCUUGGCCAUCACCUUAGGAGACCAGCAAGGGUGCCCCAGCCAAGGUGGAGGCCCAAACCGAUUCAACUUCGAGUCUGAUUCGGAGUCCAAGAGCAGUCAGUACUAAAACUGACGUACAGGUCGCAAACGGAGUCAGAUUUGGACGUUCUUUAUAUGGAUGGAAAGAUAAUUUCAAGACACUUCCAAUGCAACUGAUUUUAGGCCCAAAUUCUUCCGGAAUCGACGGGAAUCGUCCAAGGAAGUUGAUGUCUAGUUUCUGUCCCGACGAUGCGACGUUGUCUUUCGGUCUUUGGGCCUUGUAUCGUUUUGGAGCCCAUUAGGGGCGCAUCCAGAGGGUUUUGCACGACCCUAGAGGCUUUAUUAGUAGCUGCCACAUCCUUGUUAGGGUUUAGGUUUUGCUUAGAUUAUUCUGUCAAGAACAGUUUCGUCGCCGUGUCGGUUUGUGA